AAGGCUCUCUCUAUCAUUCUCUCAAGCUAUGGAUAAAUGGGAAAGCGUUUCAUGCAUUGAAAAACCACCAAAGUGCCAUAUUCAAGGCUUAGGACAUAAAGGCUGUUCCAAGACGAAGAAGAAGAUGAUCAAGACUUCUGCUUCGUGAUCAAAACAAUGACGCUAUCUUAAUCUGAGCUUUAAUAAUUGGUAUUGUAGUAUUCCUAUUUUUUUUUUCUUGACCUUGUAAGACCUUUUCUCCACUCUUUUCUGCUUUCUUACUAUUUCCA
This is a long non-coding RNA of Camelina sativa (false flax), 269 nucleotides long. RefSeq lists it as uncharacterized. The record is from RefSeq and is a predicted model, not a curated record. NCBI's taxonomy places the organism in Eukaryota, Viridiplantae, Streptophyta, Magnoliopsida, Brassicales, Brassicaceae.